This 266-nucleotide long non-coding RNA is filed under the name Cyanistes caeruleus (blue tit). RNAcentral describes it as "lncRNA (ENSCCEG00000023593.1)". The record is from RNAcentral. Lineage: Eukaryota; Metazoa; Chordata; Aves; Passeriformes; Paridae.
AGAUGCACUUGGUUUGGUCCCUUAUUUUGGCUCUUCUCCCAGGUGGGGUCCUUCCUCCUCGAUGGAAAUGUCAACUUUUCCUGCACUGGUGAGGAACCUGGAGCAAGCCAUGGAUGGCCACAAGCAAACACGUCUACGGGUGAAGGCCAGAAGAGGAAGAAUGACAUCAUGAAGCCCAAGAGGGAAAGCAAAGCAAGCACCAAGCCAGCGCCAUGUGCAGGAUGGAACAGUGCUGGUGCCAGUCCUGGUGCCACAGACUGCCUCCU